AGAGUUUGAUCAUGGCUCAGAACGAACGCUGGCGGCGUGCUUAACACAUGCAAGUCGAGUGCGCGUACCGUAGCAAUACGGUAUGGCGCACGGCGCACGGGUGCGUAACACGUGGGCAAUCUGCCCUUCGAUGGGGAAUAUCUUCGGGAAACCGAAGCGAAUUCCGCAUAACAUUCCUUGGACUUCGGUUCGAGGACUCAAAGCAGCAAUGCGUCGGAGGAGGAGCCCGCGCCCGAUUAGCUAGUUGGUGAGGUAACGGCUCACCAAGGCUAUGAUCGGUAGCUGGUCUGAGAGGAUGGCCAGCCACACUGGAACUGAGACACGGUCCAGACUCCUACGGGAGGCAGCAGUGGGGAAUCUUGCGCAAUGGGCGAAAGCCUGACGCAGCGACGCCGCGUGGGGGAUGAAGCUUCUCGGAGUGUAAACCCCUUUCGACCGGGACGAAUGCCCGCAAGGGAGUGACGGUACCGGUAGAAGAAGCCCCGGCUAACUACGUGCCAGCAGCCGCGGUAAGACGUAGGGGGCCAGCGUUGUUCGGAAUUACUGGGUGUAAAGGGUUCGUAGGCGGUGUGGCAAGUCGGGAGUGAAAUUUCUGGGCUUAACUCAGAACCUGCUUCCGAAACUGCUGUGCUCGAGUGUGGGAGAGGCGCGUGGAAUUGCAGGUGUAGCGGUGAAAUGCGUAGAUAUCUGCAGGAACACCCGUGGCGAAAGCGGCGCGCUGGACCACUACUGACGCUGAGGAACGAAAGCUAGGGGAGCAAACAGGAUUAGAUACCCUAGUAGUCC
Molecule: ribosomal RNA, 786 nt
Filed under: uncultured bacterium
Lineage: Bacteria
Description: bacterial SSU rRNA
Rfam family: Bacterial small subunit ribosomal RNA
Source: RNAcentral